AUACUGUGAGCUCGAUGAGUAGGGCGGGACACGUGGUAUCCUGUCUGAAUAUGGGGGGACCAUCCUCCAAGGCUAAAUACUCCUGACUGACCGAUAGUGAACCAGUACCGUGAGGGAAAGGCGAAAAGAACCCCGGCGAGGGGAGUGAAAAAGAACCUGAAACCGUGUACGUACAAGCAGUGGGAGCCUCUUUAUGGGGUGACUGCGUACCUUUUGUAUAAUGGGUCAGCGACUUAUAUUCUGUAGCAAGGUUAACCGAAUAGGGGAGCCGAAGGGAAACCGAGUCUUAACUGGGCGUUAAGUUGCAGGGUAUAGACCCGAAACCCGGUGAUCUAGCCAUGGGCAGGUUGAAGGUUGGGUAACACUAACUGGAGGACCGAACCGACUAAUGUUGAAAAAUUAGCGGAUGACUUGUGGCUGGGGGUGAAAGGCCAAUCAAACCGGGAGAUAGCUGGUUCUCCCCGAAAGCUAUUUAGGUAGCGCCUCGUGAAUUCAUCUCCGGGGGUAGAGCACUGUUUCGGCAAGGGGGUCAUCCCGACUUACCAACCCGAUGCAAACUGCGAAUACCGGAGAAUGUUAUCACGGGAGACACACGGCGGGUGCUAACGUCCGUCGUGAAGAGGGAAACAACCCAGACCGCCAGCUAAGGUCCCAAAGUCAUGGUUAAGUGGGAAACGAUGUGGGAAGGCCCAGACAGCCAGGAUGUUGGCUUAGAAGCAGCCAUCAUUUAAAGAAAGCGUAAUAGCUCACUGGUCGAGUCGGCCUGCGCGGAAGAUGUAACGGGGCUAAACCAUGCACCGAAGCUGCGGCAGCGACACUAUGUGUUGUUGGGUAGGGGAGCGUUCUGUAAGCCUGUGAAGGUGUGCUGUGAGGUAUGCUGGAGGUAUCAGAAGUGCGAAUGCUGACAUAAGUAACGAUAAAGCGGGUGAAAAGCCCGCUCGCCGGAAGACCAAGGGUUCCUGUCCAACGUUAAUCGGGGCAGGGUGAGUCGACCCCUAAGGCGAGGCCGAAAGGCGUAGUCGAUGGGAAACAGGUUAAUAUUCCUGUACUUGGUGUUACUGCGAAGGGGGGACGGAGAAGGCUAUGUUGGCCGGGCGACGGUUGUCCCGGUUUAAGCGUGUAGGCUGGUUUUCCAGGCAAAUCCGGAAAAUCAAGGCUGAGGCGUGAUGACGAGGCACUACGGUGCUGAAGCAACAAAUGCCCUGCUUCCAGGAAAAGCCUCUAAGCAUCAGGUAACAUCAAAUCGUACCCCAAACCGACACAGGUGGUCAGGUAGAGAAUACCAAGGCGCUUGAGAGAACUCGGGUGAAGGAACUAGGCAAAAUGGUGCCGUAACUUCGGGAGAAGGCACGCUGAUAUGUAGGUGAAGUCCCUUGCGGAUGGAGCUGAAAUCAGUCGAAGAUACCAGCUGGCUGCAACUGUUUAUUAAAAACACAGCACUGUGCAAACACGAAAGUGGACGUAUACGGUGUGACGCCUGCCCGGUGCCGGAAGGUUAAUUGAUGGGGUUAGCGGUAACGCGAAGCUCUUGAUCGAAGCCCCGGUAAACGGCGGCCGUAACUAUAACGGUCCUAAGGUAGCGAAAUUCCUUGUCGGGUAAGUUCCGACCUGCACGAAUGGCGUAAUGAUGGCCAGGCUGUCUCCACCCGAGACUCAGUGAAAUUGAACUCGCUGUGAAGAUGCAGUGUACCCGCGGCAAGACGGAAAGACCCCGUGAACCUUUACUAUAGCUUGACACUGAACAUUGAGCCUUGAUGUGUAGGAUAGGUGGGAGGCUUUGAAGUGUGGACGCCAGUCUGCAUGGAGCCGACCUUGAAAUACCACCCUUUAAUGUUUGAUGUUCUAACGUUGGCCCCUGAUCGGGGUUGCGGACAGUGUCUGGUGGGUAGUUUGACUGGGGCGGUCUCCUCCUAAAGAGUAACGGAGGAGCACGAAGGUUGGCUAAUCCUGGUCGGACAUCAGGAGGUUAGUGCAAUGGCAUAAGCCAGCUUGACUGCGAGCGUGACGGCGCGAGCAGGUGCGAAAGCAGGUCAUAGUGAUCCGGUGGUUCUGAAUGGAAGGGCCAUCGCUCAACGGAUAAAAGGUACUCCGGGGAUAACAGGCUGAUACCGCCCAAGAGUUCAUAUCGACGGCGGUGUUUGGCACCUCGAUGUCGGCUCAUCACAUCCUGGGGCUGAAGUAGGUCCCAAGGGUAUGGCUGUUCGCCAUUUAAAGUGGUACGCGAGCUGGGUUUAGAACGUCGUGAGACAGUUCGGUCCCUAUCUGCCGUGGGCGCUGGAGAACUGAGGGGGGCUGCUCCUAGUACGAGAGGACCGGAGUGGACGCAUCACUGGUGUUCGGGUUGUCAUGCCAAUGGCACUGCCCGGUAGCUAAAUGCGGAAGAGAUAAGUGCUGAAAGCAUCUAAGCACGAAACUUGCCCCGAGAUGAGUUCUCCCUGACUCCUUGAGAGUCCUGAAGGAACGUUGAAGACGACGACGUUGAUAGGCCGGGUGUGUAAGCGCAGCGAUGCGUUGAGCUAACCGGUACUAAUGAACCGUGAGGCUUAACCUUACAACGCCGAAG
Molecule: ribosomal RNA, 2563 nt
Filed under: Escherichia coli
Lineage: Bacteria; Pseudomonadati; Pseudomonadota; Gammaproteobacteria; Enterobacterales; Enterobacteriaceae
Description: partial 23S ribosomal RNA
Rfam family: Bacterial large subunit ribosomal RNA
Source: RNAcentral